GACGAAGGGGGCUAGCGUUGUUCGGAAUUACUGGGCGUAAAGGGCGCGUAGGCGGUCCAUUAAGUCAGGCGUGAAAGCCCUGGGCUCAACCUGGGAGUGGCGCUUGAUACUGGCGGACUAGAGAGUGGGAGAGGUUGGUGGAAUUCCCAGUGUAGAGGUGAAAUUCGUAGAUAUUGGGAAGAACACCGGUGGCGAAGGCGGCCUUCUGGACAGUGACUGACGCUGAGACGCGGAAGCGUGGGGAGCAAACAGG
Molecule: ribosomal RNA, 253 nt
Filed under: uncultured bacterium
Lineage: Bacteria
Description: partial 16S ribosomal RNA
Rfam family: Bacterial small subunit ribosomal RNA
Source: RNAcentral